Long non-coding RNA from Mytilus trossulus (common blue mussel), 1117 nucleotides. RefSeq lists it as uncharacterized. The transcript is spliced from 3 exons. The record is from RefSeq and is a predicted model, not a curated record. Lineage: Eukaryota; Metazoa; Mollusca; Bivalvia; Mytilida; Mytilidae.
UGACAAACAAACGACGGAAAUUACAUAAUAAAUCCACAGCGUGUAUCUUAAUAUAUUUGUCAGUACAUGGAUAACCCGAAUAAUCCAGUCGUUAUAUUACGAUCACUUCGGUCACUCCAUCAACCAUUUCAUUGACAACAGUAGAGGAUAGGGGCGCUGAAUUAUUCGAGUUAGUACAUGGAGGAAAGAUAUUCAAAGAUUAGGAGCGACAAUUCAAUAUCCAUUUGUGCAUUGUAUUUGUCGUGGUUGAAACGGCACCAGGAACAUAUCAGGAUAGACAACAAAAGUCUAGUGAGAAAAAUGUUGUGAAACACCAGCAAAAAAAGAUUAGAUUGUUAUUCAGUCCUGACUUAUACAGUGUUUCUGAAGAUGGAGAUUAGAUCAGGCCUAUCCAGAAGCAAGAAAAAGAACAAUUCAUAGCACGUACAUCUACAGAGAAAGACAUGUUUAAAAAAAACAGAUUUGUUUUCAAUUUUAGAAAAACCUGUUGAACUUUUACUAUUUCUUAUCUGUUUAUUUUACAUUUAUAUGUUGAUAUUUUGUUUUUUUAAAUUGCUGCACAGUUUUUCUAUUCAGUCCCAUAUAACAAAAUCAGCUGACGAAAUUUAUAUUUUCAUAUUUCAAGGGAGUGUCUUUUUGCAUUGUUGAUAGCAGAUAUAAGUAUUGUCUUAAGUUGGGUUUAAAAACAGUCAGAUCGCAACUUCAAAUAAAAUACAUUUUUAUGAAUGUUACAUGUCAUUAAAUAGACACGAAAGAUGGAAAAUUAUAUAGGAACACAUUUUUUAUGACCUAAAUGUAUUGUCAAGGUAAAUUUAUUAUGUGAACAUAUCAAAUAUUAUCAAAAACACUGCUGGUUUAAAAUAAAAUUAUUCUAUGUAGCCUAAUGUAAUCAUACAGAUCAGUGUAUUUUUUCCUAAACAAAUUUUACAUAUUUUUAUAACCAGAAUAAAUUUAUUCUGUGGGUCAACCUUAACAUAAUUACUGUACUAUCAAAAUAAAUUUAUUUUAUAUAUCAUAAUACUUUUAAUUCACAUUGAAUGUAGAAUAAAUUUAUUCUGUGUCGCCUCCUUAAUAUGAUAACUGUACUUUCAGAAUAAAUUUAUUUUAUAUAUUAUUA